UGUAGAAAGCAGCCUCCUUGAGAGCAGGAGAGCAGCUGCUGUGUGGUGCUGCAGGGCAUUUCUCCCAGCUGAGAUCCCUGAGCCCACGCUGGCGGAGGACGUGCUGUGCCAUCAUCUCUUCUGCGGUGCCGCUUUGCAGCUGCUCUGUGUGCUGGCUGUAAUCGUGCUGCUUUCCAGGUGCCAUAAGCCAGACUGGCACAGUCUUGGGACUCGGUCUGGCGAGGCAGUGAAGAAAGCCAAGGCAAGAGCUGCUCUGCUGAGGAAGAAAGCCCAGAAGGAGAGCAAAAAGAACCAGCAGGGCUUGAGCGAGAAGGCCCACAGGACACUGGGAUCAGCUGGAAUGCUUCCUCGGAGGUGGCACCAAAGGCAGCGGACUGAGUCCAGUUUUGUGGCAUGGCCGUGCUUUCUCUGUCACGGACAGGGCAGCGGAACUGAGGCACCUGGAAGGGAAGGACUUGUGCUGCAUUCCAAGCAAGGAGGGCUUGCCAGAGGCAGGUCUUCAGCUAUGGCAAGAGGUGGAGAGGCUGUGUUCCUUCAGGCUGCGUCUCUUCAGGGCCAGAGCCGGUCUAGUGUGAGAUAGAAGUAGGGCUAGCCGGGCCUGGAGGGAGAGGAGCUGACGUAGCCACAGGGUCAGGCUUCUCCUCGUGUCUGCCUGGAGGCUGAUUGACUCAUUGCUAAGCAGAAACCCUGGGCGCUGGGGUUUCAUUUUGGGCUGUGUUGAUAAAUACAACCCAGAGCCUUUUGCAUUGAAUAAAAGCGAAACCAACUUUUUCCA
Lagopus leucura (white-tailed ptarmigan) is the source of this 775-nucleotide long non-coding RNA. RefSeq lists it as uncharacterized. NCBI's taxonomy places the organism in Eukaryota, Metazoa, Chordata, Aves, Galliformes, Phasianidae. The record is from RefSeq and is a predicted model, not a curated record. The transcript has 2 exons.